Molecule: ribosomal RNA, 761 nt
Filed under: uncultured Planctomycetota bacterium
Lineage: Bacteria; Pseudomonadati; Planctomycetota
Description: bacterial SSU rRNA
Rfam family: Bacterial small subunit ribosomal RNA
Source: RNAcentral
CGUGUGUAGGCGGACCGUUAAGUGCUUUGUGAAAUCCCACGGCUCAACCGUGGAAUGGCUUGGCAUACUGGCGGUCUUGAGCCACUCAGGGGCAACUGGAACUAACGGUGGAGCGGUGAAAUGCGUAGAUAUCGUUAGGAACGCCGAAGGUGAAAACAGGUUGCUGGGGGUGUGCUGACGCUGAGACACGAAAGCCAGGGGAGCAAACGGGAUUAGAUACCCCGGUAGUCCUGGCCCUAAACGAUGUCCACUAGAUCGCGGUGCCUCUGACGGUGUCGCGGUCGAAGCAAAAGUGCUAAGUGGACCGCCUGGGAAGUACGGUCGCAAGGCUAAACUCAAAGGAAUUGACGGGGGCUCACACAAGCGGUGGAGCAUGUGGUUCAAUUCGAAGCAACGCGAAGAACCUUACCUGGGCUUGACAUGCCUGGAUUACCCCAUGAAAGUGGGGUAGCCUUCGGGACAACAGGCACAGGUGCUGCAUGGCUGUCGUCAGCUCGUGUCGUGAGAUGUCGGGUUAAGUCCCAUAACGAGCGAAACCUUUGCCCUUAGUUGCCAGCGGGUUAGCCGGGUACUCUAAGGGGACUGCCGGUGUCAAACCGGAGGAAGGUGGAGAUGACGUCAAGUCCUCAUGGCCUUUAUGCCCAGGGCCACACACGUGCUACAAUGGGGUGCACAAAGCGAACCGAAAGCGCGAGCUCCAGGAAAUCGCAGAAAUCACCCCCCAGUUCAGAUCGGAGGCUGCAACUCGCCUCCGUGAAGUU